GCUUAACACAUGCAAGUCGAGCGCGCCCUUCGGGGUGAGCGGCAGACGGGUGAGUAACGCGUGGGAACGUGCCCUUUGGUUCGGAAUAGCCCUUGGAAACGAGGAGUAAUGCCGAAUGUGCCCUUCGGGGGAAAGAUUUAUCGCCAAAGGAUCGGCCCGCGUUAGAUUAGCUAGUUGGUGAGGUAAUGGCUCACCAAGGCGACGAUCUAUAGCUGGUCUGAGAGGAUGAUCA
Molecule: ribosomal RNA, 232 nt
Filed under: Pelagomonas calceolata
Lineage: Eukaryota; Pelagophyceae; Pelagomonadales; Pelagomonadaceae
Description: partial Bacterial small subunit ribosomal RNA
Rfam family: Bacterial small subunit ribosomal RNA
Source: RNAcentral